This 749-nucleotide ribosomal RNA is filed under the name uncultured bacterium. Its description in RNAcentral is "bacterial SSU rRNA". It matches the Rfam family "Bacterial small subunit ribosomal RNA", at positions 28 to 776 of the family's 1533-position model. The record is from RNAcentral.
AUUGAACGCUGGCGGCAGGCUUAACACAUGCAAGUCGAACGAUGAAGAUAUAGCUUGCUAUAUCGGAUUAGUGGCGGACGGGUGAGUAACACUUAGGAAUCUACCUUUUAGCGGGGGAUAGCUCGGGGAAACUCGAAUUAAUACCGCAUAAUUUCUACGGAAUAAAGAGGGCUUUUAGCUCUCACUAGAAGAUGAGCCUAAGUAAGAUUAGCUAGUUGGUGGGGUAAAAGCCUACCAAGGCGACGAUCUUUAGCUGGUCUGAGAGGAUGAUCAGCCACACUGGGACUGAGACACGGCCCAGACUCCUACGGGAGGCAGCAGUGGGGAAUAUUGGACAAUGGGGGCAACCCUGAUCCAGCCAUGCCGCGUGUGUGAAGAAGGCCUUUUGGUUGUAAAGCACUUUAAGCAGUGAAGAAGACCUAUUGGUUAAUACCCAAUAGCGAUGACAUUAACUGCAGAAUAAGCACCGGCUAACUCUGUGCCAGCAGCCGCGGUAAUACAGAGGGUGCAAGCGUUAAUCGGAAUUACUGGGCGUAAAGCGAGCGUAGGUGGUUAAAUAAGUCAGAUGUGGAAGCCCUGGGCUCAACCUAGGAACGGCAUCUGAAACUAUUUAACUAGAGUAGGUGAGAGGGAAGUAGAAUUUCAGGUGUAGCGGUGAAAUGCGUAGAGAUCUGAAGGAAUACCGAUGGCGAAGGCAGCUUCCUGGCAUCAUACUGACACUGAGCUCGAAAGCGUGGGUAGCAAACAGG